Molecule: ribosomal RNA, 448 nt
Filed under: uncultured bacterium
Lineage: Bacteria
Description: SSU rRNA
Rfam family: Bacterial small subunit ribosomal RNA
Source: RNAcentral
AGAACGAACGCUGGCGGCAGGCUUAACACAUGCAAGUCGAACGCGUGUAGCAAUACACGAGUGGCGCACGGGUGAGUAACGCGUGGAUAUCUGCCUUUUGGUUCGGAAUAACCCCGGGAAACUGGGGCUAAUACCGGAUGGUUCCUUCGGGAUAAAGAUUUAUCGCCAAAAGAUGAGUCCGCGUACGAUUAGCUAGUUGGUGAGGUAAUGGCUCACCAAGGCGACGAUCGUUAGCUGGUCUGAGAGGACGAUCAGCCACACUGGGACUGAGACACGGCCCAGACUCCUACGGGAGGCAGCAGUGGGGAAUAUUGGACAAUGGGGGCAACCCUGAUCCAGCCAUGCCGCGUGAGUGAUGAAGGCCUUCGGGUUGUAAAGCUCUUUUGGCGGGGACGAUGAUGACGGUACCCGCAGAAUAAGCCCCGGCUAACUUCGUGCCAGCAGCCGC